GCUCAGCCCUAAACCCAAGCUAUUACCAAACAAAAUAGCUCGCCAGGAAACUACUAGCAAAUGCUUAAAACUCAAAGGACUUGGCGGUGCCCUAAACCCAUCUAGAGGAGCCUGUUCUAUAAUCGAUAAACCCCGAUAUACCUCACCCUCUCUUGCCAAUACAGUCUAUAUACCGCCAUCGUCAGCUCACCCCACAGGGCCAAAAAGUAGGCAAAAUUAUUAUCCAUAAAAACGUUAGGUCAAGGUGUAACACAUGAGAAGGAAAGAAAUGGGCUACAUUCUCUACUCUAGAGCAUAACGAAUCAUCUUAUGAAACUAAGAUGCUUGAAGGAGGAUUUAGUAGUAAAUUAAGAAUAGAGUGCUUAAUUGAAAUAGGCAAUAGGGCGCGC
This 389-nucleotide ribosomal RNA is filed under the name Microperoryctes longicauda (long-tailed bandicoot). RNAcentral describes it as "partial 12S ribosomal RNA". It matches the Rfam family "Bacterial small subunit ribosomal RNA", at positions 794 to 1384 of the family's 1533-position model. Lineage: Eukaryota; Metazoa; Chordata; Mammalia; Peramelemorphia; Peroryctidae. The record is from RNAcentral.